RNAcentral lists this ribosomal RNA (449 nucleotides) under uncultured bacterium. Its description in RNAcentral is "partial 16S ribosomal RNA". It matches the Rfam family "Bacterial small subunit ribosomal RNA", at positions 29 to 523 of the family's 1533-position model. The record is from RNAcentral.
AACGAACGCUGGCGGCAUGCCUAACACAUGCAAGUCGAACGAGAUCUUCGGGUCUAGUGGCGCACGGGUGCGUAACGCGUGGGAAUCUGCCCUUUGGUUCGGAAUAACAGUUGGAAACGACGGCUAAUACCGGAUGAUGACGAAAGUCCAAAGAUUUAUCGCCAGAGGAUGAGCCCGCGUAGGAUUAGCUAGUUGGGGUGGUAAAGGCGCACCAAGGCGACGAUCCUUAGCUGGUCUGAGAGGAUGAUCAGCCACACUGGGACUGAGACACGGCCCAGACUCCUACGGGAGGCAGCAGUGGGGAAUAUUGGACAAUGGGCGAAAGCCUGAUCCAGCAAUGCCGCGUGAGUGAUGAAGGCCUUAGGGUUGUAAAGCUCUUUUACCCGGGAUGAUAAUGACAGUACCGGGAGAAUAAGCUCCGGCUAACUCCGUGCCAGCAGCCGCCGUAA